CCUACGGGGGGGCAGCAGUGGGGGACAUUGCCCAAUGGGGGAAACCCUGAUGCAGCGACGCCGCGUGUGGGAAGCCGGUCCUCUGGAUUGUAACCCACUGUCCCCAGGGACGAAGAUGACGGUGCCUGGGGAGGAAGCUCCGGCUAACUACGUGCCAGCAGCCGCGGUAAUACGUAGGGACCGGGCUUUGUCCGGAAUUCCUGGGUGAAAGGGGGGGGUAGGCGGGGAUGCAAGGUGGGUGGCAAAACUACCGGCUCAACUGGUAGUCGCACUCAAAACUGCAGCUCUUGAGUGAAGUAGAGGCAGGCGGAAUUCCUGGUGUAGCGGUGAAAGGCGUAGAUAUUAGGAGGAACACCAGGUGCGAAGGCGGCCUGCUGGGCUUUUACUGACGCUGAGGCUCGAAAGUGUGGGUAGCAAACAGGAUUAGAUACCCCGGUAGUC
Molecule: ribosomal RNA, 441 nt
Filed under: uncultured bacterium
Lineage: Bacteria
Description: partial 16S ribosomal RNA
Rfam family: Bacterial small subunit ribosomal RNA
Source: RNAcentral